This 429-nucleotide ribosomal RNA is filed under the name Acidobacteriota bacterium. RNAcentral's name for it is "Acidobacteria bacterium partial 16S ribosomal RNA". It matches the Rfam family "Bacterial small subunit ribosomal RNA", at positions 355 to 776 of the family's 1533-position model. Lineage: Bacteria; Pseudomonadati; Acidobacteriota. The record is from RNAcentral.
UGGGGAAUUUUGGACAAUCGGGGAAACCCUGAUCCAGCCAUCCCGCGUGUGCGAUGAAGGCCUUCGGGUUGUAAAGCACUUUUGGCAGGAAAGAAACGUCAUGGGUUAAUACCCCGUGAAACUGACGGUACCUGCAGAAUAAGCACCGGCUAACUACGUGCCAGCAGCCGCGGUAAUACGUAGGGUGCAAGCGUUAAUCGGAAUUACUGGGCGUAAAGCGUGCGCAGGCGGUUCGGAAAGAAAGAUGUGAAAUCCCAGAGCUCAACUUUGGAACUGCAUUUUUAACUACCGGGCUAGAGUGUGUCAGAGGGAGGUGGAAUUCCGCGUGUAGCAGUGAAAUGCGUAGAUAUGCGGAGGAAAACCGAUGGCGAAGGCAGCCUCCUGGGAUAACACUGACGCUCAUGAACGAAAGCGUGGGGAGCAAACAGG